Ciona intestinalis (vase tunicate) is the source of this 1740-nucleotide non-coding RNA. The record is from RefSeq and is a predicted model, not a curated record. NCBI's taxonomy places the organism in Eukaryota, Metazoa, Chordata, Ascidiacea, Phlebobranchia, Cionidae.
UCAUCAUAUUCUGUUUCAGAAAUCGCGACGGUUCUGCUGUAUUACGUCACAAUAUACGUUACUCGCGACGUUAGGUCACAAUUGAUGCGUUCGUUAUAUUCGUUACGUCACAACUCGACACAAUUUCUCGCGUUAUUGUUACGUCAUAGCUCAACCACAUGCGCUUGCCAUAAUGCGGUUUGUUCUACGCUUGCGUUUCGCGUUUUUUUUUUCAUGGGGCCCCAUGCGCGUUUUGCAUCGAUGCAAGGCACAUUACUUGUAUAUUUUUAAUUAUAUUUGCGCUAUAUGAGCGCGAAGCAAGAAGAUCAAAGAAUUGGUAAAGUAUAAAUCACAAUUGGCAUUGUCACCUACAUAACCUCUUUUCUAGAAACAUCGAUGAUGUGACGUCACGAAGUGGUAAUAAUGCAACAGAAGAACCAACUUCGACAUGGUAUGUGACGUCACAGAGGAUCAAGCCGACCAUCACGAUAAGAAAGAAUGGAGAAAAGUUAGCAAGGAAAGCUGCCGAAGAAAAUCGCACGAAGAAGAACAAAGACGAAGACGCGAUAAAGGAUACACGGUUUGAGAUUUGAAGUUUAUAAGUAUGAGUUGAGUGUUGAAUGUGUGUAUCUGCGCUGCAGUCCUCUAUUCUGCUGGACCUAAUGUUGCCAGCGAUUUUUAGUCAGUCACUACUACAGUGCAUUUUGCAUGUCAUUGAAAUAUCUACAGAGAAAUUAUAGCGAACAUCUUGCUGGAUCAGAUUUUGUUGUUGUACACUCUAUUCUGUGUAUAUAAUGUCCAGGUCGCUUGGUAAGAACGCCAUGUUGGUGCACAAAUACUCGAGUAAUAUUAACACGCAAUAUAAUAUGCGCAAAGAUAUGUUAGGAACACUUUUAAACUAAUGUAACGUAAACUUCUACACGUAACUUUACAUUAAAACGUCAUGUAGCGUGAUUGGGACGAUGGCCACGUCACAAUUACGCUACGACGUCGAUACGGUGGGUCAGAGCAUUCUCAUGACCAUGCGUUCGGUGCGGUUACGUCAAUUUUGAUUGAGUUACGUCACGGUCUGGUUGUUGCGUAGACGUCACCGCCAGUGAUGCUACGCUCAGAUAUUUAGGUCACUGUCAAUGCGGUUCGUAACAACCUGACGCAGUUUUGUAACGGUCAAAGCGGUGCGUAACAUCCGGACGUUAUUAUUAUAUUGUGUGAAGAUAAGAGUAUCGCGGUACCAACAUGGCGACUUAUAUACCUUUUAAUUCGGAAAUGGUGUACACUACGAAAGAUUAUCCUUUAGGAUUUGAACCAUAUUUUCUUUGUUAAUUUUUCAAUGAUAUGUCCGUGUUAAAUACCUUUUGAUUGCUUCCCUUUUUUGAUAUGAUUGAGCUGUUGUGUUUGUUGCAUGUUUGGCACAUGUAUGUCGCUGCACUCGUUCUAAUAUUUUUGUCUUUUUGUUGGUGUAUUCCUUGUUGUGCACAGUGUUCAUGUGCGUCAUUGUAUUAUUUUUGUCUAUGGGGGUUUGUUUAACCUGCGUGGACAGUAACAUCCCGCAAGGGUUUCUCACCAGAGUAGAAACCCAUUACCAUUGGCUGGGGGCUUGUCGUGCCGUAGUGGCUUUCCACCAACGCCAGCCACAUAAAUUAUGAAGGUAUUCUAAUCUUGUUUCUAUUUUUCAGAAGUUUCUUUAAUAAAGUGAUCACAUGUUUAUUUGCGCAAUUACUUCGUCUUGUUGCAAACGAAUAAAUAAUUAACAGAACUGAA